AAAAAUGGCGCACAAACCACAAUUUGAAAUUUAAAAACAGCUAAUCUUGGAGCCAAUUUGCCAAACACUUAGCCUAUAAAUAUGAAAUAAUUUCAGACCAAACUUCACUCAGCAAACUCUUCUCUCUCUCUCUCUCUCUCUCUCUCUCUCUAUUUUAUGGUUUUUAUUCUCUCUCCCUCUCUAUUUUAUGGUUUUUAUGUUUCUAUGUGGUACUCUCAUUUUUAUUUUGUUUAGUUUUUUUUGCUAUUCACUAUUAGGUACUCUCAUUUUU
This 271-nucleotide long non-coding RNA is filed under the name Salvia miltiorrhiza (redroot sage). RNAcentral describes it as "long non-coding RNA (SMIL_LNC004777)". Lineage: Eukaryota; Viridiplantae; Streptophyta; Magnoliopsida; Lamiales; Lamiaceae. The record is from RNAcentral.